ACGCCCUGUAUGGCUUGAGUUAGGAAACAAUCUCAGUGCACGGUAAUGUGCAUAGGAAGCCUAAGCAGGGUUUUU
Molecule: small RNA, 75 nt
Organism: Algibacter sp.
Lineage: Bacteria; Pseudomonadati; Bacteroidota; Flavobacteriia; Flavobacteriales; Flavobacteriaceae
Source: Rfam